UGGGGAAUCUUGCGCAAUGGGCGAAAGCCUGACGCAGCAACGCCGCGUGGAGGACGAAGGCUUUCUGAGUUGUAAACUCCUUUCAGCAGGGACGAUAGUGACGGUACCUGCAGAAGAAGCACCGGCCAACUACGUGCCAGCAGCCGCGGUGAUACGUAGGGUGCAAGCGUUGUCCGGAUUUAUUGGGCGUAAAGAGCUCGUAGGCGGUUUGAUAAGUCGGGUGUGAAACCUCCAGGCUCAACCUGGAGCCGCCACUCGAUACUGUCAUGACUAGAAUUCGGUAGGGGACCACGGAAUUCCUGGUGUAGCGGUGAAAUGCGCAGAUAUCAGGAGGAACACCAGCAGCGAAGGCGGUGGUCUGGGCCGACAUUGACGCUGAGGAGCGAAAGCGUGGGGAGCGAACAGGAUUAGAUACCCCCGUAGUCC
This 426-nucleotide ribosomal RNA is filed under the name uncultured bacterium. RNAcentral describes it as "bacterial SSU rRNA". It matches the Rfam family "Bacterial small subunit ribosomal RNA", at positions 355 to 796 of the family's 1533-position model. The record is from RNAcentral.